AUUGAACGCUGGCGGCAUGCCUAACACAUGCAAGUCGAACGGCAGCACGGGGGUAGCUCUGGUGUCGAGUGGCGGACGGGUGAGUAAUACCUAGGAACGUGCCUGGUCGUGGGGGAUAACGUACCGAAAGUGACGCUAAUACCGCAUACGAUCUGAGGAUGAAAGCGGGGGAUCUUCGGACCUCGCGCGAUCGGAGGAGCCGAUGUCGGAUUAGCUAGUUGGUGGGGUAAAGGCCUACCAAGCCGACGAUCCGUAGCUGGUCUGAGAGGAUGAUCAGCCACACUGGAACUGAGACACGGUCCAGACUCCUACGGGAGGCAGCAGUGGGGAAUAUUGGACAAUGGGCGCAAGCCUGAUCCAGCCAUGCCGCGUGUGUGACGAAGGUCUUCGGGUUGUAAAGCGCUUUUGGAUGGAACGAAAAGCAGCAAGUUAAUACCUGGCGGUCAUGACGGUACCGAAAGAAUAAGCACCGGCUAACUACGUG
Molecule: ribosomal RNA, 484 nt
Filed under: uncultured bacterium
Lineage: Bacteria
Description: partial 16S ribosomal RNA
Rfam family: Bacterial small subunit ribosomal RNA
Source: RNAcentral